UACGGAGGGGGCGAGCGUUAAUCGGAAUUACUGGGCGUAAAGCGUGCGCAGGCGGUGAGCUGUGUCCGAUGUGAAAGCCCCGGGCUUAACCUGGGAAUGGCAUUGGAAACUGGCUCGCUGGAGUGUGGCAGGGGGGGGUGGAAUUCCACGUGUAGCAGUGAAAUGCGUAGAGAUGUGGAGGAACACCGAUGGCGAAGGCAGCCCCCUGGGCCAACACUGACGCUCAGGCACGAAAGCGUGGGGAGCAAACAGG
This 253-nucleotide ribosomal RNA is filed under the name uncultured bacterium. RNAcentral's name for it is "partial 16S ribosomal RNA". It matches the Rfam family "Bacterial small subunit ribosomal RNA", at positions 524 to 776 of the family's 1533-position model. The record is from RNAcentral.